Molecule: ribosomal RNA, 254 nt
Filed under: uncultured bacterium
Lineage: Bacteria
Description: partial 16S ribosomal RNA
Rfam family: Bacterial small subunit ribosomal RNA
Source: RNAcentral
GAUCAUGGCUCAGGAUGAACGCUAGCGGCAGGCUUAACACAUGCAAGUCGAGGGGCAGCGGGGAGUAGCAAUACUCCGCCGGCGACCGACGCACGGGUACGUAACGCGUAUGCAACCUACCUUUAACAGGGGCAUAACACUGAGAAAUUGGUACUAAUUCCCCAUAACAUUCGAGAAGGCAUCUUCUUGGGUUAAAAACUCCGGUGGUUAAAGAUGGGCAUGCGUUGUAUUAGCUAGUUGGUGAGGUAACGGCU